RNAcentral lists this ribosomal RNA (325 nucleotides) under uncultured eukaryote. Its description in RNAcentral is "partial 18S ribosomal RNA". It matches the Rfam family "Eukaryotic small subunit ribosomal RNA", at positions 1470 to 1796 of the family's 1831-position model. The record is from RNAcentral.
CCCUUAGAUGUUCUGGGCUGCACGCGCGCUACACUGAUGCGCUCAACGAGUUUUAACCUUGCCUGGAAAGGUUGGGUAAUCUUUUUAAAACGCAUCGUGAUGGGGAUAGAUUAUUGCAAUUAUUAAUCUUCAACGAGGAAUUCCUAGUAAGCGCGAGUCAUCAGCUCGUGCUGAUUACGUCCCUGCCCUUUGUACACACCGCCCGUCGCUCCUACCGAUUGAGCGAUCCGGUGAAUAAUUCGGACUGCGGCAUUGACCGGUUCCCGAUCGUUGCUGCGGAAAGUUUAGUGAACCUUAUCACUUAGAGGAAGGAGAAGUCGUAACA